RNAcentral lists this ribosomal RNA (905 nucleotides) under Inocybe sp. RNAcentral's name for it is "partial large subunit ribosomal RNA". It matches the Rfam family "Eukaryotic large subunit ribosomal RNA", at positions 72 to 963 of the family's 3401-position model. Lineage: Eukaryota; Fungi; Basidiomycota; Agaricomycetes; Agaricales; Inocybaceae. The record is from RNAcentral.
GGAUUCCCCUAGUAACUGCGAGUGAAGCGGGAAAAGCUCAAAUUUGAAAUCUGGCGGUUUUUAACUGUCCGAGUUGUAAUCUAGAGAAGUGUUACCUGUGCUGGACCGUGUACAAGUCUCCUGGAAUGGAGCAUCAUAGAGGGUGAGAAUCCCGUCUUUGACAUGGACUACCAGUACAUUAUGGUGUGCUCUCAAAGAGUCGAGUUGUUUGGGAAUGCAGCUCAAAAUGGGUGGUAAAUGCCAUCUAAAGCUAAAUAUUGGCGAGAGACCGAUAGCGAACAAGUACCGUGAGGGAAAGAUGAAAAGAACUUUGGAAAGAGAGUUAAACAGUACGUGAAAUUGCUGAAAGGGAAACGCUUGAAGUCAGUCGCGUUGGCUAGAAAUCAGCCUUGCUUUUGCUUGGUGUACUUUCUGGUUGACGGGUCAGCAUCAAUUUUGACCAUUGGAUAAAGUCUUUGGGAAUGUGGCAUCCUUGGAUGUGUUAUAGCCCAUUGUCGCAUACAGUGGUUGGGAUUGAGGAACUCAGCACGCCUGCAAGGGCCGGGUUUCGACCACGUUCGUGCUUAGGAUGCUGGCAUAAUGGCUUUAAUCGACCCGUCUUGAAACACGGACCAAGGAGUCUAACAUGCCUGCGAGUGUUUGAGUGGAAAACUCAUGCGCGCAAUGAAAGUGAAAGUUGAGAUCCCUGAAAGGGGAGCAUUGACGCCCGGACCAGACCUUUUGUGACGGAUCCGCGGUAGAGCAUGUAUGUUGGGACCCGAAAGAUGGUGAACUAUGCCUGAAUAGGGUGAAGCCAGAGGAAACUCUGGUGGAGGCUCGUAGCGAUUCUGACGUGCAAAUCGAUCGUCAAAUUUGGGUAUAGGGGCGAAAGACUAAUCGAACCAUCUAGUAGCUGGUUCCUGCGA